GAUCUGUGAAAUCCCUGGGCUUAACCUGGGCAGGUCAGAUGAUACUGGUUGACUCGAGUAUGGGAGAGGGUAGUGGAAUUUCCGGUGUAGCGGUGAAAUGCGUAGAGAUCGGAAGGAACACCAGUGGCGAAGGCGGCUACCUGGCCUAAUACUGACACUGAGGCACGAAAGCGUGGGGAGCAAACAGGAUUAGAUACCCUGGUAGUCCACGCUGUUAACGAUGUCA
Molecule: ribosomal RNA, 226 nt
Filed under: uncultured Legionella sp.
Lineage: Bacteria; Pseudomonadati; Pseudomonadota; Gammaproteobacteria; Legionellales; Legionellaceae
Description: partial 16S ribosomal RNA
Rfam family: Bacterial small subunit ribosomal RNA
Source: RNAcentral